Molecule: ribosomal RNA, 378 nt
Filed under: Uropeltis ellioti (Elliot's earth snake)
Lineage: Eukaryota; Metazoa; Chordata; Lepidosauria; Squamata; Uropeltidae
Description: partial small subunit ribosomal RNA
Rfam family: Bacterial small subunit ribosomal RNA
Source: RNAcentral
GCCCGGAUGUAACACAGCAACACCCUGCUCGCCAAAUAACUACGAGUGAAAACUUAAAACUUAAAGGACUUGACGGUACUUCACACCCAACCUAGAGGAGCCUGUCUAUUAACCGAUAAUCCACGAUUAACCCGACCGCUUCUAGCCACCCAGCCUAUAUACCACCGUCGCCAGCCUACCUUGUAAAAGAAACAAAGUAAGCUAAACAGUACUACACUAACACGACAGGUCAAGGUGUAACUAAUGAAACGGAUUAAGAUGGGCUACAUUCUCUAACCCAGAUUACACGAACAAGAUUAUGAAACUAAUCUUUAAAGGCGGAUUUAGCAGUAAGCUGAGAACAAAAUACUCACCUGAAACCAAUGCAAUGAAGUGCGU